This 503-nucleotide ribosomal RNA is filed under the name uncultured bacterium. RNAcentral's name for it is "partial 16S ribosomal RNA". It matches the Rfam family "Bacterial small subunit ribosomal RNA", at positions 30 to 523 of the family's 1533-position model. The record is from RNAcentral.
ACUGAACGCUGGCGGCAGGCUUAACACAUGCAAGUCGAGCGGGGUGAUGGUGCUUGCACUAUCACUUAGCGGCGGACGGGUGAGUAAUGCUUAGGAAUCUGCCUAUUAGUGGGGGACAACAUCUCGAAAGGGGUGCUAAUACCGCAUACGUCCUACGGGAGAAAGCAGGGGAUCACUUGUGACCUUGCGCUAAUAGAUGAGCCUAAGUCGGAUUAGCUAGUUGGUGGGGUAAAGGCAUACUAAGGCGACGAUCUGUAGCGGGUCUGAGAGGAUGAACGGCCACACUGGGCCUGCGACACGGCCCAGAAUCCUACGGGAGGCAGCAGUGGGGAAUAUUGGACAAUGGGGGGAACCCUGAUCUAGCCAUGCCGCGCGUGUGAAGAAGGCCUUAUGGUUGUAAAGCACUUUAAGCGAGGAGGAGGCUCUUUUGGUUAAUACCCAAGAUGAGUGGACGUUACUCGCAGAAUAAGCACCGGCUAACUCUGUGCCAGCCGCCGCCGUAA